Molecule: long non-coding RNA, 590 nt
Organism: Tribolium castaneum (red flour beetle)
Lineage: Eukaryota; Metazoa; Arthropoda; Insecta; Coleoptera; Tenebrionidae
Exons: 2
Source: RefSeq, a predicted model, not a curated record
UAUCGCAAUGAAAGUGCCAGUACUGAUAGUACUAGCCCUUGUGUGCUUGUCUAGUGCCAAAUACGAGGGCUCAACAAUCUUGAGUUUAGCAUUGAAAUCGAAAAUGUUGGAACCGCCAUUCAGGCUGAAAAACACUACCACAAAUCGAGACAAGCUUUAGGUUUGGGAAAAAUUACUUUUGACCAAUAUUUACGCCACGCUGAGAUUAAUGCUUAUUUGGCCCAACUGGCUAAAGACUACCCCGACACUGUCACUCUAGAAACAAUCGGACAGUCGUACGAAAAACAUUCCCCGACUACAAUCCGAUCUAUUCUUACAGCAUCUCCUCUUUCACGACAGCUUAUACCGUUUAUAGGUAUGUGUCUAUCGAGGAGAAUCAUCGGCACGACCAUCAAUCCUGAAUACCCCGAAAUAUUGUGGAUUUCAUUUCCUGAUCAAGCUGGUUUGGGUAACUGAACCGUUAAAACCCAUCAGACCGGCUUCCAAUUAUUAAAGUCCAAUAUCAAAAAGGAGUCUUUGCAUUUCUACUAAAACAAUAUAAACUCUGUAAUUCAUGUUUUAUUAUAACUAUAUAUAAAUAUGAAAUGGAA